RNAcentral lists this ribosomal RNA (442 nucleotides) under Pedobacter agri. RNAcentral's name for it is "bacterial SSU rRNA". It matches the Rfam family "Bacterial small subunit ribosomal RNA", at positions 88 to 512 of the family's 1533-position model. Lineage: Bacteria; Pseudomonadati; Bacteroidota; Sphingobacteriia; Sphingobacteriales; Sphingobacteriaceae. The record is from RNAcentral.
CARYCCYGGGGCGCACGGGUGCGUARCGCGUAUGCAACCUACCUUCAUCUGGGGGAUAGCCCGGAGAAAUCCGGAUUAAUACCGCAUAGAAGAUCACAGGAUGGGUCAUUAUCGCAGAUGAUCAAACAUUUAUGGGAUGGAGAUGGGCAGUGCUGUGUGCAUUAGCUAGUUGGCGGGGUAAGCGGCCCAGCCAAGGCGACGAUGACUAGGGGAUCUGAGAGGAUGGCCGCCCCAGCAGCUGGUACUGAGACACGGACCAGACUCUACUACGGGAGGCAGCAGUAAGGAAUAUUGGUCAAUGGAGGCAACUCUGAACCAGCCAUGCCGCGUGCAGGAAGACUGCCCUAUGGGUUGUAAACUGCUUUUAUUCGGGAAUAAACCUUAUUACGUGUAAUAAGCUGAAUGUACCGAAGGAAUAAGGAUCGGCUAACUCCGUGCCAGC